This 490-nucleotide ribosomal RNA is filed under the name uncultured bacterium. RNAcentral describes it as "partial 16S ribosomal RNA". It matches the Rfam family "Bacterial small subunit ribosomal RNA", at positions 30 to 507 of the family's 1533-position model. The record is from RNAcentral.
AUUGAACGCUGGCGGCAGGCCUAACACAUGCAAGUCGAACGGUAACAGGAAACAGCUUGCUGUUUCGCUGACGAGUGGCGGACGGGUGAGUAAUGUCUGGGAAACUGCCUGAUGGAUGGGGAUAACUACUGGAAACGGUAGCUAAUACCGCAUAACGUCGCAAGACCAAAGAUGGGGACCUUCGGGCCUCUUGCCAUCGGAUGUGCCCAGAUGGGAUUAGCUAGUAGGUGGGGUAACGGCUCACCUAGGCGACGAUCCCUAGCUGGUCUGAGAGGAUGACCAGCCACACUGGAACUGAGACACGGUCCAGACUCCUACGGGAGGCAGCAGUGGGGAAUAUUGCACAAUGGGCGCAAGCCUGAUGCAGCCAUGCCGCGUGUAUGAAGAAGGCCUUCGGGUUGUAAAGUACUUUCAGCGGGGAGGAAGGGAGUAAAGUUAAUACCUUUACUCAUUGACGUUACCCGCAGAAGAAGCACCGGCUAACUCCGUG